This 158-nucleotide ribosomal RNA is filed under the name uncultured Glomus. RNAcentral's name for it is "5.8S ribosomal RNA". It matches the Rfam family "5.8S ribosomal RNA". From Rfam's summary of the family: 5.8S ribosomal RNA (5.8S rRNA) is a component of the large subunit of the eukaryotic ribosome. It is transcribed by RNA polymerase I as part of the 45S precursor that also contains 18S and 28S rRNA. Lineage: Eukaryota; Fungi; Glomeromycota; Glomeromycetes; Glomerales; Glomeraceae. The record is from RNAcentral.
UCACUUUCAACAACGGAUCUCUUGGCUCUCGCAUCGAUGAAGAACGCCAGCGAAGUGCGAUAAGUAAUGUGAACUGCAGUAUUCCGUGAAUCAUCGAACCUUUGAACGCAUAUUGCACUUUCUGGUAUUCCGGAAAGUAUGCCUGUUUGAGGGUCAGC